This 303-nucleotide unclassified non-coding RNA is filed under the name Hevea brasiliensis (rubber tree). Lineage: Eukaryota; Viridiplantae; Streptophyta; Magnoliopsida; Malpighiales; Euphorbiaceae. The record is from RNAcentral.
GUCCAACAGCAUUUUCAAUCAUGUGGAACAGUGAAUAGAGUGACAAUUUUGACGGACAAAUUUGGUCACCCCAAGGGAUUUGCUUAUGUUGAGUUCGUGGAGGUUGAUGCUGUCCAGAAUGCUUUGCUGUUAAAUGAGUCAGAGUUGCAUGGUCGUCAACUAAAGGUCUCUGCUAAAAGGACGAAUGUGCCUGGCAUGAAGCAAUACCGAGGAAGGAGGCCAAACCCUUUUGGCUUUCGAGGUCGCCGGCCUUUCAUGCCUGCUGCACCUUAUCCUUCGUAUGGUUAUGGAAGGGUUCCAAGG